GUCCUAACCCCAUCCGAGAUAUUUUCUCUGGUGGAUAUGGAUGAAAACCCCGAUAAAGAUACUGAACACCACGUUCAGCCACUCUUUAUCGGGUCACAUCGGGAAACUGGUGUGGGGGCCGCAAGGCUUC
Molecule: small RNA, 130 nt
Filed under: unclassified sequences
Description: LOOT RNA
Rfam family: LOOT RNA
About the family: Latescibacteria, OD1/Parcubacteria, OP11, TM7.
Source: Rfam by way of RNAcentral